RNAcentral lists this ribosomal RNA (253 nucleotides) under uncultured bacterium. RNAcentral's name for it is "partial 16S ribosomal RNA". It matches the Rfam family "Bacterial small subunit ribosomal RNA", at positions 524 to 776 of the family's 1533-position model. The record is from RNAcentral.
UACGUAGGGGGCGAGCGUUAUCCGGAUUUACUGGGCGUAAAGCGAGUUAAGGCGGUUGGCAAAGUUGGUUGUGAAAUCUCAGGGCUCAACCCUGAAAUUGCGACCAAUACUGGUCGACUAGAGUGCAGGAGAGGAAGGUGGAAUUCCCGGUGUAGUAGUGAAAUGCGUAGAGAUCGGGAAGAACAUCAGUGGCGAAGGCGGCCUGCUGGGCUGUUGCUGACGCUGAGGCGCGACAGCGUGGGGAGCAAACAGG